Felis catus (domestic cat) is the source of this 85-nucleotide non-coding RNA. NCBI's taxonomy places the organism in Eukaryota, Metazoa, Chordata, Mammalia, Carnivora, Felidae. The record is from Rfam.
GCCUGGGUGGCUCAGUUGGUUAAGCGUCUGACUUUGGCUCAGGUCAUGAGCUUAGAGUUCGUGGGUUCGAACUCCACAUGGGGCU